AUGUUCAGCAGUCAUUCCAUGUUCGACCAGUAGAGAGCAUUUUAGGCUUUUUCAGGUGGCCCCUACUGGCAGCAACAAGCAUAUGGGGGUGCAGUGAUGCUGUUGAGGCAACUCAAAGGCCGAGUCCAUGGACACUGUGUUCUGUCUUGUAAAGCAUUCAAUACGUGGGUCCCUGUGUGUGCAUUUCAUGGACGGAAGUGAUCUAUAAGAGGUGUGAUGACUGCUGUUACAUACGUCUGCAGAGCGUGGGUCUAGCACCUAGCAUUUCCUCCUUAGCAAAAAAAUGAGGAAGCUAAGACACAGAGAAGGCAUUUGCUCAAUGCCACAGAACCCAGAUUCCAACUCAGGCCAAAGGACUCCAGAGCUGUGCUCUCCACUCCAGCCAUACUGCCUCCGAAGAGAGCUUAAGCAGGGAAACCCAAAGACCAAAGAAUGUCCCCCAACUCUCACCUCAUGUAUGGAAGAGGUUCCGGCUCUGCUACUC
Lutra lutra (Eurasian river otter) is the source of this 484-nucleotide long non-coding RNA. RefSeq lists it as uncharacterized. The transcript is spliced from 3 exons. Lineage: Eukaryota; Metazoa; Chordata; Mammalia; Carnivora; Mustelidae. The record is from RefSeq and is a predicted model, not a curated record.